GAUGCCAUACGACAGGUAAACUAAACGAUCACAGAUCAGUGUAGACUACGACGCCAUACGACAGGUAAACUAAACGAUCACAGAUCAGUGUAGUCUACGAUGCCAUACGACAGGUAAACUAAACGAUCACAGAUCAGUGUAGACUACGACGCCAUACGACAGGUAAACUAAACGAUCACAGAUCAGUGUAGACUACGACGCCAUACGACAGGUAAACUAAACGAUCACAGAUCAGUGUAGUCUACGAUGCCAUACGACAGGUAAACUAAACGAUCACAGAUCAGUGUAGACUACGACGCCAUACGACAGGUAAACUAAACGAUCACAGAUCAGUGUAGUCUACGACGCCAUACGACAGGUAAACUAAGCGAUCACAGAUCAGUGUAGUCUACGACGCCAUACGACAGGUAAACUAAACGAUCACAGAUCAGUGUAGUCUACGAUGCCAUACGACAGGUAAACUAAACGAUCACAGAUCAGUGUAGACUACGACGCCAUACGACAGGUAAACUAAACGAUCACAGAUCAGUGUAGUCUACGACGCCAUACGACAGGUAAACUAAGCGAUCACAGAUCAGUGUAGUCUACGACGCCAUACGACAGGUAAACUAAACGAUCACAGAUCAGUGUAGUCUACGAUGCCAUACGACAGGUAAACUAAACGAUCACAGAUCAGUGUAGUCUACGACGCCAUAUGACAGGUAAACUAAGCGAUCACAGAUCAGUGUAGUCUACGAUGCCAUACGACAGGUAAACG
Long non-coding RNA from Oncorhynchus keta (chum salmon), 757 nucleotides. RefSeq lists it as uncharacterized. Lineage: Eukaryota; Metazoa; Chordata; Actinopteri; Salmoniformes; Salmonidae. The record is from RefSeq and is a predicted model, not a curated record. The transcript has 4 exons.